RNAcentral lists this ribosomal RNA (900 nucleotides) under uncultured bacterium. RNAcentral describes it as "bacterial SSU rRNA". It matches the Rfam family "Bacterial small subunit ribosomal RNA", at positions 8 to 916 of the family's 1533-position model. The record is from RNAcentral.
AGAGUUUGAUCAUGGCUCAGGACGAACGCUGGCGGCGUGCUUAACACAUGCAAGUCGAACGAUGAAGCCCAGCUUGCUGGGUGGAUUAGUGGCGAACGGGUGAGUAACACGUGAGUAACCUGCCCUGGACUCUGGGAUAACCCCGAGAAAUCGGAGCUAAUACCGGAUAGGACCUUUCCUCGCAUGAGGUUUGGUGGAAAGUUUUUCGGUCUGGGAUGGACUCGCGGCCUAUCAGCUUGUUGGUGAGGUAAUGGCUCACCAAGGCGUCGACGGGUAGCCGGCCUGAGAGGGUGACCGGCCACACUGGGACUGAGACACGGCCCAGACUCCUACGGGAGGCAGCAGUGGGGAAUAUUGCACAAUGGGCGCAAGCCUGAUGCAGCAACGCCGCGUGCGGGAUGACGGCCUUCGGGUUGUAAACCGCUUUUAGUAGGGAAGAAGGGCUUCGGCUUGACGGUACCUGCAGAAAAAGGACCGGCUAACUACGUGCCAGCAGCCGCGGUAAUACGUAGGGUCCGAGCGUUGUCCGGAAUUAUUGGGCGUAAAGAGCUCGUAGGCGGUUUGUCGCGUCUGCUGUGAAAACUAGAGGCUCAACCUCUAGCCUGCAGUGGGUACGGGCAGACUUGAGUGGUGUAGGGGAGACUGGAAUUCCUGGUGUAGCGGUGGAAUGCGCAGAUAUCAGGAGGAACACCGAUGGCGAAGGCAGGUCUCUGGGCACUUACUGACGCUGAGGAGCGAAAGCGUGGGGAGCGAACAGGAUUAGAUACCCUGGUAGUCCACGCCGUAAACGUUGGGCGCUAGAUGUGGGGACCUUUCCACGGUUUCCGUGUCGUAGCUAACGCAUUAAGCGCCCCGCCUGGGGAGUACGGCCGCAAGGCUAAAACUCAAAGGAAUUGACGG